Molecule: long non-coding RNA, 1312 nt
Organism: Helianthus annuus (common sunflower)
Lineage: Eukaryota; Viridiplantae; Streptophyta; Magnoliopsida; Asterales; Asteraceae
Exons: 2
Source: RefSeq, a predicted model, not a curated record
CAUUGUUGAUUUCUUGAAAGGUUUCUUCAAUGUAGUUCUCUAAUUUUUCUUAUAGUUAUUCAUCUGUUAUAUAAUCACGUGUGCAAUUACAUGCUUGCUGUAGAAUUAGCAUAUGAAUAUAGUGUUGCAUUGCGAAACUUUUUAGCCAUUUUUUAUGCCUGACAAGCAAAGUUUAAGUGAGAUAGUGGAGUAUAAACUGUGAAGCUUAAGUGACAAAAGUGCAGCACCAGCUACAGCUCACAGCCUCACAACACCCAACUGUAGCUUGCAGUUGCGGCUCCAUUCCUUAGCCGUGGGCAACCCAGCUGCAGCCGUGAUCCGCAUUCUCUAGAUAUGAUUAGGUUCAUCCUGUUGCGACUCGCUUCGGUAACGAAGUCAGUUUUAACUAUUUAAGUCAUGGGUAGUUUAUUUCGGUAUUAACCACUGGGUGUCAGCCCAGUGGCCACCGACACCCAUCUUAAAACCUGCAAGGUGGAGGUCGCAAGUUCGAUUCUUACCCUGAGCAGACCGGGGAAUUCACCGCUAGGCAGGGCGGACUUAUGUAGAAACUACGGGUUCCCGGGAACCCAUUCGGUUUUUAAUUUUUAGUGUAAAUAUAUAUAAGAAACUGAAAAGGAACCCAUAAGUAAAUUAUAAAGGAAACCCAUAAACAAAAAAAGCCUUGGUUCCACCGGUUAUGUCCGCGCUUUUCUUUCUAACUCACCCGAGUUCGAAUCCCGUAUCAAGUGUUUUUUUUUGUUUUUUUUUAUUUCUCUUUUUAAUUUUUUUUAUUAAUGUAAUAAAACCCAUUUAGGGUUAUAUCACAAAACACACGCCGCCGCACAGCCACAUAACAAGUAACCAACAGCAACAUCAGCAGUUCCACCAGUCCACCUCCCACUGGCUUCCUCUCCGCCGAUUGCUGCCGUCUGCCAACACCGCGACGUCCUUCCUCUCCCCUGCUCGGCUGCUCGGCUGCUCCGCCUCUGCCGAUUGCUGCCAGACACUUUGUUUUUCUUAUUCGAAUCAGCGAUUAAGAUUCUAGCAGUGCAUCAAAGAGGACGCUGGGAAUGAUCGAAGGGGAAAACGUCUUUUGUACAGUUGCACAGUAGGAUACCAACGCAACUGGAAGCCGUAUGAAUAGAAGCCACAUCACCUAACAAAAUAUCUUUUGCACAGGUUAUGCAACUAACAUAACUUGCAAUCAUAACAUGAGAUGUUGUUUUUUGGUAAAACUUAUGUAAUUAAGUAACUUUGACGAGGAUGUAACUAGCAAACGGCUUAGCAGAAAUAUAAAUAUAAUCCCGCCGCAUUGCGGCGGGUAACACUUCUA